AAUUUCCCAAGCCCUCAAAAAUUAGCAUUCCAUCAAAUUCUAGUCUGUCAAUCUUCAAGCCAGUUGAUUGCAUUUUAGGAAUCUCCAAAAUCACAAUCCAACCAUUUAACUCAAAAGAGCUAGACUAAACAACAAAGACAUAUCCUAAAAAUCAAACAAAAUAAUAAAAUUAAUCUAGCAGUUCAUCCUAAACUGAAUGAAAUUAAAAGCUUUCAUUUCAUAAGCUAUAAGGCAUCUAUUUACAUACAUGCACAAGAACAAUAAUCCUAAAUCUAACAGCUUGAAUUUUGGUCCUUUUUCUCCCCCCGCUGAACUUUCCGCAUAAUUGCUGAGGGAAGCAAAACACAGAGGGGUACCUGUGAAGUGCAAAACCAUGCAAAUGAACAUAUUCCAAAAUCCAUUAACAGUCACAAGUAACAAUGCAGUCUUCACUAUUUCUCAAAGUAACUGGCGAAGCUCCUGGUUUUCUUUCAGAAGACGCUUAAUUUCUUUCAUCAGCUCUGCCUGAUUUUCCAGAAUUGAGCGCAUCACAGUAGAAAAUUCCAUCUCCUGCAUAUGGAAUUGUCUUAGAAUUUCGAUGUGAAGGUUCCUCAUGUCUUCAUGGAUGGAUUUCUGGAAUGAAUCAAGAGUUUCUUCAAGAGUACGUUGAAAAAGCUGGAGCGUGAAGGAAUUUCCCUGCUGUGGAUCCAGCUGAAGGGCCUUAUUUGGUUGUGAAAUUCCUCCCUAACACAAUAAAGUGAACUAAUUAGCCAUGAUAAAGUGAUGAGCAUUUUAGGCAACCAAACAUAAUUAGCUUGAGCUACAUAAGGUGAGAUCCAAGUGUGGCUUGUGCUUUCAACUCAAUGCACGGUAUUGAAGGCAUCUAUGAUGAUCAAGCAGAACAUUUUGGACUUUCCUCCCAAAAAACCUAUAACUGUUUAUUGAACCAAUUUAGUCUGCAUACAUUUACUGCUGGAAGAAUUCCUUGUUCUGUCACAGCCGAUGUGUCAGACCUUGACAACAAGCUGCUCAAAAGCUCUUCUCUGGUCUCAGCUCCUGUUUUCUUCAUUUUAGGAGAACUCAUUGAAAGGGAGUUCCCAUCAUUGAAGGAGGAAGUUGCGCUUAUUCUCUCCGCAUAAGUUGAAAAUCUACGAGGAAGGGUCGAAGGGCCUGAUCCUGGCACAUCAAGGUUGGUUUGUCCAACAAUGCUUUUUGUACUCACAGAUUGAGACAUGGAACUAGAGGAAAUGAGUUCUGAAAAUCCUGUUGAACUUUCCUGAUUUGAAGAAACAUCUCUGGGGCGCAGAUUUGAAAAACUCAUGUUUGAAUUUGUCAAAGAGCUAAUAAUUGUCUGAUUUGUUGAAGAGGGCAGAUCUUGCAAACCCCCAGAAGUCAACAUCCCAAAACGAGAAGGUAAAUUGAGUGGCUGAUGUAAGUGGGUAAGUUUGUCGGAUAAUCUCUCUCCACCCCAAGCUUCUGGAGGAGUGAUGGAGGAUUCUUCGCUUUUUGAAGAUGGAGUGGGAGUAGAUCCCGCCAACAGUGAAAAAGAAGAUCUGAUCUCAUCCUGUUUGGAAGUUGAACUGGCUUUCCAAUCGAAUAUUGGAUGAUCACUUGUCCCAUCCUCUGCAGAAGGAAAUCUUCUACCAGCUGAAGGAAACAACAAAGAUGAGGACUUCUUAUCAAUUGAUAGAUUAUCCUUUUUUGUUCCCUCAUGAUCAUCCCAGAGCUUAUCAAGUGAAGGUGUGAUAGGCUGGACAUCAACAAGUGGGGAAAAUACUUCCAUGUCAUCCUUAAAAUUAUAACUUGUACGAGGAGCAUGUAAUCUUGCCAAUGUUCCACUUGGCCACAAAUGGCUCCGAUGUGGUGUUUCCUCAGCAAAUGAAGGCAUACUUGAUGCAGAUCCACUAUUGGUUGAUGUAAGAGAUGAUGCUCCUACAGAAAGACCAGAACGGCCAAGAUUACGAGAAGUCAACACUGCAGUAGAUAGUGAAACACUUGAUGACGUCACAGAGGGAAGGGGGUCAGGCAUAAGAAUGGAAUCUUCAACAGCACCUCCCAGAAGAGCUGUCUCAGCAGUGCAGGUACUCCCAUUUACAACAACUGGCUUUGAUCUUUGCCAGCACAAACUUGUAACAGCCUCUGAAGUGCUAUAAGCACGAAGAACAGUGAAAGGCUGUGGUUUUCCACGAACAUCAUAGAACACCACUCGACCACUGCUAGUUCCAGCGGCAAGAAUCCAGCUAUCCUCUCUGAAUGCCAAUGAAGAGAAAGGUGCCUCAUAAGAUAUGAAGGAUGAGGGUCUCCGAGACCCUGAAUCAUAAGUGUAUAACUUUUUAUCCAGUCCAACACUAGCUAUUAUCUUGUCAUUUGAUGGUGAGAAGCUAAUACCAGCAGUUGGGGCAGAAUGUUGCUUCAACCAAGAAAUCUUAGGGCUGCGACCAGUUGUAUCCCAUAAAUGUACUGACCCAUCAUCCCCUGCAGUCACCAAAAGGUGCCGGCUAAUCCGUGAAUAAUCUAGCACCCGCAGUACCUGGUCUUAAAUCAAUCAGAUGAACAAUCAGCUUGGCAUCCAGAAACUCUAACCAACAAUACAAGAAUGGCAGUAAUGAAAUGCAAGAAACUAAACAACCUGUUCAUUAGGAUCCUUGAGCUCCGCUGCCCUUGCGCCAGAUGCAAGGUUGUGAAGGAUAAGAUCCCCACUUAGACUGACGGAAGCCAAAUGCUCAUCUUUGCAAUUAUAUAAAGCACCAGUUAUUGUAUUGGUGUGACCCCUCAACCAUUUAAUGCAGCGUUUCCUCUGUAGAUCCCAUAUUCUUACUACUCGACCGCUUCCCCCAGAGCACAUGUAUCUGGAUCCCUUGUUACUAAAGCUAAUAGCCAAUAUAGAUUCCUCAAUGUUGUCUCCACUAUCUGUCCCAGCAACCGGAAUAGUCCCCAUGAUCUGCCCAUUUUUCCUCCAGAGAGAGAUCUUCUUAUCUUCUCCAGCACUAGCCACAAUCAAAUUAGUGUGGUUCCACUUGACUGAGUUGACCAGGCAACCCGGACAUGGAGUGUAGCUCACGAUGCAGGGAUCACCCGGCUCCCCCGAAACAUCAAAAAGCUUCACCGUAUCGCCUCCGCUCGCCGCCAGUAGCCCCAUUGAUGGAUCAGCCAAGUUCAUCAUUUAGAAUACCCUGCAUCCAAUUUCCUUCUCCCGAGAAAAUCCAGCACCUCAACUCGAAUUCUCCCGGAAAAUUAAAUUUUAGUGAUUGCAAAUCACAUGAUACAUUGAAAUUUGAGAAACGGAAGAAUACGGGUUUUGAUUUUUAGGAAUAGAUUUACAAAGACAAAAUGAACAAACCCUAC
This 3324-nucleotide unclassified non-coding RNA is filed under the name Hevea brasiliensis (rubber tree). Lineage: Eukaryota; Viridiplantae; Streptophyta; Magnoliopsida; Malpighiales; Euphorbiaceae. The record is from RNAcentral.